AGAGUUUGAUCCUGGCUCAGAAUCAACGCUGGCGGCGUGCCUAACACAUGCAAGUCGAACGCGAAAGUCCCGCAAGGGACGAGUAGAGUGGCAAACGGGUGAGUAACGCGUGGGUGACCUGCCUUCGAGCGGGGGAUAACGUUCCGAAAGGGACGCUAAUACCGCAUAACAUCCUGCCUUUGAAGAGGUGGAGAUCAAAGCCGGGGAAUCGCAAGACCCGGCACUUGAAGAGGGGCCCGCGUCUGAUUAGCUAGUUGGUGAGGUAACGGCUCACCAAGGGCCACGAAUCAGUAUUCGGGCCUGAAGAAGGGCCGACGGACACACUGGGAACUGAGACACGGCCCAGACUCCUACGGGAGGCAGCAGUGGGGAAUUGUUCGCAAUGGGCGCAAGCCUGACGACGCAACGCCGCGUGGAGGAUGAAGAUUUUCGGAUCGUAA
RNAcentral lists this ribosomal RNA (440 nucleotides) under uncultured bacterium. Its description in RNAcentral is "bacterial SSU rRNA". It matches the Rfam family "Bacterial small subunit ribosomal RNA", at positions 8 to 428 of the family's 1533-position model. The record is from RNAcentral.